GAUGAACGCUGGCGGCGUGCCUAACACAUGCAAGUCGAACGAAGCACUUCGAUUUCUUCGGAAUGAAAAAGUGACUGAGUGGCGGACGGGUGAGUAACGCGUGGGUAACCUGCCUCAUACAGGGGGAUAACAGUUAGAAAUGACUGCUAAUACCGCAUAAGCGCACAGUAUCGCAUGAUACAGUGUGAAAAACUCCGGUGGUAUGAGAUGGACCCGCGUCUGAUUAGCUAGUUGGUGAGGUAAUGGCUCACCAAGGCGACGAUCAGUAGCCGGCCUGAGAGGGUGAUCGGCCACAUUGGGACUGAGACACGGCCCAA
Molecule: ribosomal RNA, 317 nt
Filed under: uncultured bacterium
Lineage: Bacteria
Description: bacterial SSU rRNA
Rfam family: Bacterial small subunit ribosomal RNA
Source: RNAcentral